GGCCCUAUGGUCAAGUGGUUAAGACACCGCCCUUUCACGGCGGUAACCCGGGUUCGAAUCCCGGUAGGGUCACCA
Molecule: transfer RNA, 75 nt
Filed under: Thermohalobacter berrensis
Lineage: Bacteria; Bacillati; Bacillota; Tissierellia; Tissierellales; Thermohalobacteraceae
Also listed under: 6 other names
Description: tRNA-Glu
Rfam family: tRNA
About the family: Transfer RNA (tRNA) molecules are approximately 80 nucleotides in length. Their secondary structure includes four short double-helical elements and three loops (D, anti-codon, and T loops).
Source: RNAcentral